RNAcentral lists this ribosomal RNA (301 nucleotides) under uncultured bacterium. RNAcentral's name for it is "partial 16S ribosomal RNA". It matches the Rfam family "Bacterial small subunit ribosomal RNA", at positions 509 to 807 of the family's 1533-position model. The record is from RNAcentral.
CAGUCGCCGCGGGAAUACGAAGGGGGCUAGCGUUGUUCGGAAUUACUAGGCGUAAAGGGCGCGUAGGCGGCCAUUCAAGUUAGAUGUGAAAGCCCUGGGCUCAACCUAGGAAUUGCAUUUGAUACUGUUUGGCUUGAGUUCGGGAGAGGUGAGCGGAAUUCCCAGUGUAGAGGUGAAAUUCGUAGAUAUUGGGAAGAACACCAGUGGCGAAGGCGGCUCACUGGACCGACACUGACGCUGAGGCGCGAAAGCGUGGGGAGCAAACAGGAUUAGAUACCCCCGUAGUCCCUGUCUCUUAUAC